RNAcentral lists this ribosomal RNA (251 nucleotides) under uncultured prokaryote. Its description in RNAcentral is "partial 16S rRNA". It matches the Rfam family "Bacterial small subunit ribosomal RNA", at positions 525 to 775 of the family's 1533-position model. The record is from RNAcentral.
ACGGAAGGUCCGGGCGUUAUCAGGAUUUAUUGGGUUUAAAGGGAGCGUAGGCGGAGCGUCAAGCCAGCAGUGAAAUGUAGCGGCCAAACCGCUGCACUGCUGUCGGAACUGGCGACCUCGAGUGCACACGAGGCAUGCUUAAUUUGUGGUGUAACGGUGAAAUGCAUAGAUAUCACGAAGAACACCGAUUGCGAAGGCAUCGGGCCGGAAUACAACUGACGCUGAAGCUCGAAAAUGCUGGUAUCGAACAG